This 425-nucleotide long non-coding RNA is filed under the name Prunus persica (peach). RNAcentral's name for it is "long non-coding RNA (PPER_LNC002511)". Lineage: Eukaryota; Viridiplantae; Streptophyta; Magnoliopsida; Rosales; Rosaceae. The record is from RNAcentral.
ACAUCUUCUUCUUCUUCCAUCACUUUCCAUUUUUUUUCUCUUCAAUCUUUCUUUUUUUCCUUUGAAAUAACAUCAAAGUCCAAAUACCAUUUUCCUCCAUAACAAGAAACAACAAACCCAACCCAUUUAGCAAAAUCAAAUACCCAAUAAGGAAGAUUGACGUAAGAAGGAGGGAGGUUGAUCUCUGUGGGUUUUUUUUGUUUUUUUUUUCUUGGUGCUGUUAAAAAAACUUCUACUUCCCCUUGUUGAGAAAAACAAAAAAGGAUCAAGCAUAGGGAAUAGUCAAAUUAUUAGGUCUAAAGAGGGGGGCCUCCACGGUGAGAGGACCUCCUUAUUUCAAAGCUUGCGAUCAAUCGAAGCACUUUGCCCCAGCUGCCAGCACAAGUAACCGCGUUGAAAAAGUUGGAAAGAUUGUUACGAUGUCC